ACAAGAGAAAGAGGAGAAGAGCGAACGGAGGAUGCCUAGGCUUCUGGAGGCGACGAAGGACGUGGUAAGCUGCGACAAGGCGCGGGGAUCUGCAAACAGGAAUUGAUCCGCGCAU
RNAcentral lists this ribosomal RNA (115 nucleotides) under Bacteroidales bacterium WCE2008. RNAcentral's name for it is "partial 23S rRNA. Bacterial LSU". It matches the Rfam family "Bacterial large subunit ribosomal RNA", at positions 1 to 111 of the family's 2925-position model. Lineage: Bacteria; Pseudomonadati; Bacteroidota; Bacteroidia; Bacteroidales. The record is from RNAcentral.